Mus musculus (house mouse) is the source of this 4868-nucleotide long non-coding RNA. RefSeq annotates it as predicted gene, 41352. Lineage: Eukaryota; Metazoa; Chordata; Mammalia; Rodentia; Muridae. The transcript has 5 exons. The record is from RefSeq and is a predicted model, not a curated record.
UCAGUGCUCUUAACCACUGAGCCAUCUCUCCAGCCCUUUUUGGCUUUGCUUUUGUUUUCAGUCUGUGGGUAGGCCCAGGGCACCAAACUUAGUUUAUCAGGCUUGAAGACAGUACCUUAACUCACUUAGCCAACCUGCUAGCCCCAGGCUGUGGUUUCCCGAUGAAAGAGAAAUAAAUUCCUGUGUCUGCUUUGCCUCAGCAGGAAAUCAGACGCUAUCAGUUUGGCUCAGGAGCAAUGGCAGCGGUCUUCAAAUAAACAAAGACUAUGAGAAGCAAGUAGCCUUCCUAUCUGGAAGUGGGAACCAGAGCACCCAUCCACAAGACGCCUAGGAGAUCAAAGAUCUCAGGGAAAGACAAGUCCAAACCAGUUAACCCAGUGCCUCUGCUAUCAACUGUUGUUCACAAGCUGCUGCUGUUGCUUUGUAAGAUCUUAGUGUAUGGGAAUGUGAGUGCAUGUGCCUUCAGAGGACAGAGGCACCGAAUUGCUCAUAGCUGAAGUUAUAAGUGAUUCUGCGCUGCCCAGUGUGGGUGAAGGUUUCUCUGUGUAGCCCUGGCUGCCUUGGAGCUCACUUUGUAGACAAGGCAGGCUUUGAACUUAGUGAUUUACCUGCCUCUGUCUCCCAAGUGGAGCACUUGGAAGAUUAAAGAAGGGAGAUUGUCCAAAAUUCAAGGCUAGCCUGGGUAUGUAAUAAAACCCUAUCAUCAAAACAACAGAGAGGCCCGCUGCCAUCGUUGUGUGACCUACCUGUAGCCCGAGUCAGCAAAGCUGAACACAUGUGGGUGCUGAGGAACAACCAGAGGUGAGCAGCCUGUGCUGUCACCUGAUACCAUGGUGGCAUCCUGGCCUGUGCUGCCAUAGAGGGCUGUGUCUGGGUCUGUGACCCUGCAGCAGCAGAGAUCUGUGUUGAUGUCAAUGGCCUAUGUUACCACCCAAAGCCAGUCAGACAUUCCUGGUGUGGGCUGCCUCCUGGGGCCAUGUUGAUGUCUAAGGGCUUUGCAGAUGUCCAGGGCUGGGUACACCCCUCACCAGCUGCAGCAUUUGGGAGAGUGGGCGGUGAAUCUCACCUGGGCAGCACAGUAGAGCUGGCACUGGUGGCAGGGCCUCAGCUGAGCCAGCCCCAGAGGCAUAAGGAAGGGAGAGCUGGCCUUGCCUCUCACCUGGGAAAAGCAGGAAAGCUGGCAGGGUGACCAACUCAGCCUCCAUCCAGGCCCAGAUUCAGGGGUCUGAGUCGGCCCAUGCCAACAUCUACCCCAUCUAUGAAUCGCUGGAGUACAUGACAGGGCCAGUCUUACAGAACCAAGGCUGAAGGAUCUCCAGACACAGAGCAACAACAGGAUAUCGAGAGGAGUCUUGGCGAGUAUUGAUAGUGUUGCAGCAGCCAGAGAGGCCUUGAACCAGACUGAUACCUCGUGGCAACGAAUGGGCAAAGCUGUUACGGCAAAGGGGUACACUGUACAACACACCGCAGCUUCCACGGCAGGAUGGGGUUUGGUUUAUUUGGCUGGCUGGUCUUUUAUUUUAUUAUUUUAUUUUAUUUUACUUUACUUUGGGAGUAGAUUUCAAGGGUAUAGGACAGAUGUGAAGGGGCAGUGAGAUAACUGAUAUUGGGGCAUAUGAUAUGGAAUUCACAAGAAUCAAUAAAAAGUAAACAACAACAAGAAACAAACAAACAAAACCCACUCAGGAGAUUUUGGAACAUUGAAGGAAUUCCAUACAUACUUCCCUUCCAUACUAUAUCAGGAACUGUCUUAGACUUUGCCACAGAGGAGGAGAGAGGAAAUCAGAACAAUCCAAUGUGUUAUGGAUAAGCAGUGGGGUUAAGUUCUUGGUAGUUAGACUGAGUAUAUAACCAAAUAGAAUAGCUAGGACCUCCAACUAAACAGACCCAACCACCAACCUGUUGGCACAGCUGGGGGACUUGCAAGCUGUCCCCAACAGAGACAGGUCCCUUACAGCAGAGCAAAAAGCUAACCAGAAUUUCCCAUCUCCGCUGUCACAUAGACUUGAAGAAAAGAGUCAAGAAGGUGCUGUGCCUGGCCCUGUCUAGUUUCUUCUUCCAAAGUCAGAAGUCAAAUAAUCCACUGUUUCUGUGCACCAAAGAACAGUAGCAGCAACUGGCAGCCUCUAAGGCUCCUCGUUUCCAUGGGCACUGUGAUGGGCUGUCUGACAUCUUCACUCAAGCCUCAUGACAGGAGACGCUAUGAUUCUGCCUUAUUCCACUGGCCCAUUCUGCCUUCUAUGGAGUCGGGCAUGUGGUGGUUUGAAUAGGUAUAGUUCCCACAGACUCAGGUGUUUGAAUGCUUGGCCAUAGGGAAUAGCACUGUUAGGAGGUGUGGUCUUGUUGGAGUAGGUGUGGCCUUGUUGGAGGAAGUGUGUCACUGUGGAGGUAGGCUUUGAGGUCAUAUAAAAUCAAGCUCUGUACAGUGUAGAACACAGUCUCCUCCCUGGCUACCUGUAUGUAGAUCAAGGUGUAGAACUCUCAGCUCCUCCACCACCAUAUCUGCCUGCAAGCUGCCUUGCUUCCCAAGGUGACGAUAAUGGACUAAGCCUCUGAAACUGUAAGCCAACCCCAAUGAAAUGUUGUUCUUUACAAGAGUUGCUUCAGUCAUGAUGUUCCUUCAUAGCAAUAAAACGGAAACCAAAGCCAGGCGUGGUGACGCACGCCUUUAAUCCCAGCACUUGGGAAGCAGAGGCAGGUGGAUUUCUGAGUUCGAGGCCAGCCUGGUCUACAGAGUGAGUUCCAGGCCAGCCAGGGCUACACAGAGAAACCCUGUCUCAAAAAAAACAAACAAACAAACAAACAAAAAAAAAAAAACAGAAACUGAGGCAGGGUGUUUAGUUCUUCUGAGGGGACGAGUUUACACACUUUUCUCCUGGACGGGUUGAGGAAUAAAGAUGUGGCUUGCUUCUCUCAAUAACUGGAAGGCCAAGGAGACACAACAGCUGGUCUUGUGACACACACACACCCCCUCUAGCCCUCCUGUGAAGUCCCCUGCUGUUCUGUAGGCAAUACCCACAUGCUCCACACAUGUCAUUUGCUGCCAUAAUCUGGCAAAGCUGUGACUGCAAGGGCUGCUGGGGAUGUGUGCUGGGGUUUACCAUGCUGGCAGCCAUGCUGGACCACAUGUAGGAGGAGUCCUGUAUGAAGUUCCCAGCUCCCUCCCUCCACGCUUAGGACCACUGUGAGGAGUUUCUGGGUGUGUAAAUGGCUCAUAGUGGAAAUGGUUUCUCCUUCCUCCUCUCCCUUCCACCUUCCUGCCCCACGGCUCUACCUCCAAAUAAACCACAGCCGCCAUCUUGUUGACUCCGGGACAGUUUUAAAGAAACCUAGCUCAACAAGGAAGGAUGCUUCCUAGCUCCUGACAAAAGGAAGAAAAAAGUGGAGUGUUGGAGGUUCCUCUGAAAACUAAAAACAGAAUUACUACAGAGCCCAGCUAAUAUGGCUCCUGAGCAUAUUCCAAAAGGGCUCCGUAUCCUCCCACAGAGACACUUACACAGCCAUGUCUAUUGAUGCCCUACUCACAGUCGCAAAGAUGCAGAAGCAGCCCAGAUGUCAUCAAUAGACGAGGGGGCGAUGAAGUGCAGCACAGUCACCCUGAGAAAUCGCGUUCCUCUGCGAGGAAAUGAAGCUAUGGAAUCGAAAACAGAAUAGUCAACAACUGGAAAAACUAUGGGAAACCUACUGUUCUGAAUGCUGACUGAAAACACAAGAAACAGUAUGUCAGGGCAGGAACUCUUCUGUCUGGUUGGCCAUGUGCUCUUGACCCUGAUCUUUGUAACUAAGGAGCGUCUGAUUCCAGUCCACUCUGGACACUCUUGAGAAAACAUCUGGCUCCCUGUCAAACCACUGUGACCUCGUAGCCAUUCGUGCUGGUGCCAGCCAUCCUUGCCUUAAACAUCUUGCGUCCCUUCUUUCUUCCCUUCGUAUCCUUUCAGCCGACGUCCAGUGGGUGCUCACUGGAAACCUGACCAUGAAGAAGAAAGAGGCCCUGCUCUCAGGAGAGUGGUAACAGAGACGUGAAAUCCAGGCGAGGACUACUCAGAGCUAGGAUGGGCUGGAAGACAGGAGGAAAUUGACCGGUUUUUGAUGGGAAGCCCUUAGAAGGAUUCUUUGUGAGCACCACCUUUAAGAUAAAGCAGAAUACAAGCCAGUGUUCACUAUUGUAAAACAGAGAGGAGGAAACAGUCCACAAAGAGAAAACCCCACGCUGGAAGGCUCAGGGAGGUACCUGGAGCUUUUACAGGAGACGGAACCACUCUUCCUUGUCCCUCUUUUAGGAAAAUGCUGAACACAUAAAGGUAUGCAGAGAAAUGCAGACUGAAGGGUUUCUUGAGAGAAUGCACAGUAUACAAUCUUUGUUAUUAACACACCUCCCAUGCCUCCUUGGGCUGGAGAGGUGGCUCAGGGGUUAAGAGCACUGACUGCCCUUCUGGAGGUCCUGAGUUCAAUUCCCAGCAACCACAGGGUUGGUGGCUCACAACCAUAUGUAAUGGGAUCCGAUGCCUUCUUCUGGUGUGUCUGAAGACAGCUACAGUGUAGUCAUAUUAAAAAACAAAAACAAAUCCAUGCCUCCUCUCUGUACAGCAAAGGCCAGACGGAGGAAAGGCCAUCCGGCGGCGUACAUAUAACACAUGAAGGAAACUGGGUGACAACAGCCAAUUCUCAUCUACAAAGCUGGAUUUGUGUGUGCAUGAAAUCUCCAGAUACUGAAGUGUUAGCAUUACACAAGGAAUGUGAGAAAGAUGUUACAAUUAGUUAAGUACUUUGAAGGGUUAAGUGUGCCCUCCAGUUAGUUUGUUUUCUGUUGCUUCCAUCAAAAUAAGUGCUGGAUCAAAAUAAAGAAAAGACGAUUGUUUCCCUCGUGA